UGCCGGAUGAUGACAAACGUUUCUCAUGUUCGCAGUUGAGAGUUGAGUUGAAUCAAAACGACUCGAUGAAUUUUUCACGUAGCCUUCACUUAGAUGUCUGACCCCAGAG
Molecule: small nucleolar RNA, 109 nt
Filed under: Plasmodium cynomolgi strain B
Lineage: Eukaryota; Apicomplexa; Aconoidasida; Haemosporida; Plasmodiidae
Description: small nucleolar RNA snoR13
Rfam family: small nucleolar RNA snoR13
Source: Rfam by way of RNAcentral